GUGGGAACGUGCCUUUUGGUUCGGAACAACCCAGGGAAACUUGGGCUAAUACCGGAUAAGCCCUUCGGGGGAAAGAUUUAUCGCCAGAAGAUCGGCCCGCGUCUGAUUAGCUAGUUGGUGGGGCAAUGGCCCACCAAGGCUACGAUCAGUAGCUGGUCUGAGAGGAUGAUCAGCCACACUGGGACUGAGACACGGCCCAGACUCCUACGGGAGGCAGCAGUUAGGAAUCUUGGACAAUGGGCGCAAGCCUGAUCCAGCCAUGCCGCGUGAGUGAUGAAGGCCUUAGGGUUGUAAAGCUCUUUCAGCGGGGGAGAUAAUGACGGUACCCGCAGAAGAAGCCCCGGCUAACUUCGUGCCAGCAGCCGCGGUAAUACGAAGGGGGCUAGCGUUGCUCGGAAUCACUGGGCGUAAAGCGCACGUAGGCGGCUUUCUAAGUCAGGGGUGAAAUCCUGGAGCUCGACUCCAGAACUGCCUUUGAUACUGGAGAGCUUGAGUCCGGAAGAGGUGAGUGGAACU
This 516-nucleotide ribosomal RNA is filed under the name uncultured Rhodoplanes sp. RNAcentral describes it as "bacterial SSU rRNA". It matches the Rfam family "Bacterial small subunit ribosomal RNA", at positions 117 to 668 of the family's 1533-position model. Lineage: Bacteria; Pseudomonadati; Pseudomonadota; Alphaproteobacteria; Hyphomicrobiales; Nitrobacteraceae. The record is from RNAcentral.